UAGGGAAUCUUCGGCAAUGGACGGAAGUCUGACCGAGCAACGCCGCGUGAGUGAAGAAGGUUUUCGGAUCGUAAAGCUCUGUUGUAAGAGAAGAACGAGUGUGAGAGUGGAAAGUUCACACUGUGACGGUAUCUUACCAGAAAGGGACGGCUAACUACGUGCCAGCAGCCGCGGUAAUACGUAGGUCCCGAGCGUUGUCCGGAUUUAUUGGGCGUAAAGCGAGCGCAGGCGGUUAGAUAAGUCUGAAGUUAAAGGCUGUGGCUUAACCAUAGUAGGCUUUGGAAACUGUUUAACUUGAGUGCAAGAGGGGAGAGUGGAAUUCCAUGUGUAGCGGUGAAAUGCGUAGAUAUAUGGAGGAACACCGGUGGCGAAAGCGGCUCUCUGGCUUGUAACUGACGCUGAGGCUCGAAAGCGUGGGGAGCAAACAGGAUUAGAUACCCUGGUAGUCCACGCUGUAAACGAUGAGUGCUAGGUGUUAGACCCUUUCCGGGGUUUAGUGCCGUAGCUAACGCAUUAAGCACUCCGCCUGGGGAGUACGACCGCAAGGUUGA
RNAcentral lists this ribosomal RNA (551 nucleotides) under uncultured bacterium. RNAcentral describes it as "bacterial SSU rRNA". It matches the Rfam family "Bacterial small subunit ribosomal RNA", at positions 355 to 897 of the family's 1533-position model. The record is from RNAcentral.